RNAcentral lists this long non-coding RNA (2062 nucleotides) under Nicotiana benthamiana. Its description in RNAcentral is "long non-coding RNA (NBEN_LNC007765)". Lineage: Eukaryota; Viridiplantae; Streptophyta; Magnoliopsida; Solanales; Solanaceae. The record is from RNAcentral.
GAGGCACUACUCGGUUUGUUCGUUGAUUGUUAGUUACGUUCAAGUUCAUAGAGAGCUUGUUUGAGGUCGUAGACUUAGUUUCAUAUUUGUCAUUCCAUUCUAGCUCUGUUGUUUGGGUUCGUUAUGUUCCAUUUGAAGUUUUUGGACAGAUUUGAUUACGUCGAGCUAAGGUCUCCGGUCCGAAAUUUUGGUUCGAUAUUGAUUAAAGUCGUUGUUCAAAGAUUCGAGUUUCCAUCAAAGUCCCAGCAUAUUUGUUUUUCGUUCGAGUUCGUCGUUGUUCCGAUCAGGUUAGUUGGUUUAAGUUUCAUCUUUGUCCAUAUUUUAUUUGAUAUUUUCGGAUCUAAAAUCAGUAUAUGUUUGAUUAUGUUCUUGUUCGUUGGUUAUCAUUUUCUUGUUUAUUUCUUCAGUUUGUUAUUAUUUAAAGGAAUUUAGUUUUAAUAUAGAAGUAUGUUAGUGUAAUAAAUCUUUCAUCUUGGUUGCAAUUCUUGUUUAUUUCUUCAGUUUGUUUUUAUUUAUAGGAAUUUCGUUUUAAUAUAGAAGCAUGUUAGCUUAAUAAAUCUUUCUUCUUAGUUGCAAAGUUAGAUUUAAUUUAAAGUUUAAUUGAUUAUUGAGUUUAGUGAAUGGAAUCCAUUUUUUUAUUCUGUUUAAGUCUAUUUGGAUCUGAGUUAGAAGUUUGAAUUUGUUUGUUUGAUCUGUUUCAGUUUAAUUUGAAAUUGAACUUAGUGAUUUGAAUAUAUUUUCUUGUUAUUGUUGUUGAACCUGAUAAUAUAUUUGUUGUUAUUAUUAUUCGGUCAAAAUAAAUUUUGUUCUUUGUUGUUCAUUUAGUUUAAAUUGUUAUUGAAUUUGAUUAAGAAUUUGGUUAUAGCUGUAGUAAGUUGGUAUUUUUUCUGAUAAUUUUGGUGCAGAUUGUAGGGAUGGGUUUAAAUGGUAAUUUUUAAUAAUUUCAGGGGGUAAUACGGGAAUUUAUAGCUUGUUGAAUUAUUUAUGUUGAGUGCUUGGUCCGCUAGAUAUAAAAGUAUGACUAAAAUAUUAUGGUGGGGGACAAGACAAAGGGUAGUGGGGGACAAGACAUAAUUAUUAAAGUAAAAGAGGGUGGGGACUGUGAGGUCCACGUUUGACUGCUUUGGGAAUUAGAAAUAGUAAGGUAAUAAUAAAAGUGUAGUAUUAAUAAUUAAAGGAAGAGGAAAAGAGGGUCUUGUUUCAAAUAAAUAAGAGUCAUUUGGCUAAUUUUAGGAGGAGGAAUUUGGAGAGAGAAAAUAUUUUCAGAACUUAAGAGAACUAAAACAGAGAAUAAGAAAAGACUGAGAGUUGAAAAGAGUAGAAAGCUGAAAGCCCCACUGUUCAUUUGAAACUUCUCUUCUUGCUUUAUUGAUUUUAUUUCUCUUGAUUCAAGUAAACUAAGACCGAUCUUAAGUAACUCUAGUAUGUCUUUGUUCAUUUGGCUUGUGUUGAUAUUGCUGUGAGUCGAAGUACAUUUCUGUGGGAUUUUUCUGGGUUGAUUUUUACUGGGUUUUGCUGAAAUCUGCUGCUGGGUUUAGCUAUUGAUGUUGCUGUUUUGCUGUAUUGAUUACUGCCUUGCUGAUUUCUCACCUUCUGCCUUUUGCUUCUAAUAUCAGGUACACAACUGGUACACCUUGUAAGUUGAUAACAUGAAGCAUGAAUACAAAUGAAGAGUUGAAGUUUUAAUUUUAUUUAGUUUUGUUAGUGAAUGUAUUUAGGCCACUUUAUAUGCAAUUUUUAUAUAAGUUUCUACCAUGUUCGUAUGACGGGAUAACUUGUAGUGAUGUAUUAAAUAAUAUUCUGCUUUAAUUUGGUCAUUAUAUAAUAUAUGUUCAAGCAUGUUUAUUACUGUCAAACUGUUUAAUAAUUGAGGAAAUAGUAUGAGUUGAUCUUUACUGAAUUGGCUUGGUCAAAUUGUUCAAUUCACUAGUUAAUCGCAAACAUGUAGCUAAAUUUUUGUAAGGUUUUAAUUUGAAUUAAUUUUGUGAAUUAGGCAUUAAGGUAUGAUUUGAGUUCAGAUAAGAUGGUUUAACAUUUCGAUUUAAUAAACUUUCAAAUAAGC